Molecule: ribosomal RNA, 427 nt
Filed under: uncultured bacterium
Lineage: Bacteria
Description: bacterial SSU rRNA
Rfam family: Bacterial small subunit ribosomal RNA
Source: RNAcentral
UGGGGAAUUUUGGACAAUGGGCGCAAGCCUGAUCCAGCCAUGCCGCGUGGGUGAAGAAGGCCUUCGGGUUGUAAAGCCCUUUUGUCCGGAAAGAAAAGUUCUGGGUUAAUAGCCCAGGAUCAUGACGGUACCGGAAGAAUAAGCACCGGCUAACUUCGUGCCAGCAGCCGCGGUAAUACGAAGGGUGCAAGCGUUACUCGGAAUUACUGGGCGUAAAGCGUGCGUAGGUGGUGGUUUAAGUCAGAUGUGAAAUCCCGAGGCUCAACCUCGGGCCUGCAGUGGGUACGGGCAGACUAGAGUGCGGUAGGGGAGAUUGGAAUUCCCGGUGUAGCGGUGAAAUGCGUAGAGAUCGGGAGGAACACCAGUGGCGAAGGCGGCUACCUAGACCAGCACUGACACUGAGUCACGAAAGCUUGGGGAGCAAACA